Molecule: long non-coding RNA, 3319 nt
Organism: Oncorhynchus tshawytscha (Chinook salmon)
Lineage: Eukaryota; Metazoa; Chordata; Actinopteri; Salmoniformes; Salmonidae
Source: Ensembl
AGCCACCCUGCUGCUACAGAAAGCUAAUUAGACCCUCACAUAUUGCUCCCCCUGCUUGGCUAAUGAUGGUGGUGUGAACACUAUGACACAGAAGUGUCACUAACUAUCCCUGUCUCUAUGGCUAGCUGAACACAGGUCCACAGAUGAGAUAAAGUCCUUUAUUUCACCUGUAUCUCCUUCAGCACCAAAUCACAGGUGUGUGUACUGUAGGACUUUGCUUUUAGUGGGGAUUGGUGACAUGUAUAGCAGCAGAUGUUCCUCUGUGUCAGAGUCGUGUAUCCAUACUGUAGUCCAAUGUUAAGAAGAAUAGUUUUGUAGCAUAUAAAGAAUAUUCUUAUUUAUGCAUUGGAGGAAUGUUGUCCUGCACAACUGCUCUAAAGGUCAAGCGUGGCCCCAGAACAACAGAGUGCUGAAUGUGACCUGGUACCUCCUGUGACCCCCAGCUACAUCAGGAAAGAAGCCCAACGGAGCUCAUCAUGGAAUGAACAGGUAGCCUGCAGCCAUAUCAUCUGACAUUUGCCUCUAGUCAAAUGAAACGGUCAUGGCUAGAAGGGCUCCAGCUUUUGUCAAAUGAAACAGUCAUGGCUAGAAGGGCUCCAGCUUUUGUCAAAUUAACAUCAAAAGUAGAUUUUUUUGGGGACAUUUUAGCUAACCCUAACUGUUUUCCUAACCUUAACCUAAUUCUUAUGACCGAUUGCGUUAAUUCUCCUUACCGGCUGAGUACGUUCUCCUAACCUUCUACGAAAAGUCACAUUUGAAUAAAGCUGUUUCCCAUCUAUUCAAAACCAAAUGAAACCGGACGAUGUGCAUUGCAUUCUCCUUCUCCAGUCUCAGCCAAGAGGAUUCAAUAAAAUACACACACUACCACUGCACAAAAAGAGACAAGAACGUGCUCUAUUGUUGACAAUAUGCUAAGGUGAAUACAAAGUUAGCUUUGGAAAAUGUCAUCAAAUACAUUUUACGACACCGUGCAGCAUAAGAAAAAACACAAACAUGAAACAAACUUCCAAGAGACAAAUUAUCAAAGGCAACUAAUCUGUCAUACUUCACCAGGUCACAACAGCUAAAUCAAGAUUAGAAUGGAGGGAAACAACUCAUCAGACCUUUGAUGUUUACUACCUUUCUUAAUGGGCAUGAUUGGCCCAUGAUUACUCCUUUGGUUUCUGUAGAUAUGUAUAUGAAUACAGGCAGUAAGGGCACAAUGAAAUACAGUCUAUAAAUAUUAAUGAAGGCUUAAAUGUCACAUUCCAAACUGCCGUAAUCUGUGACAUUAGCUACAUUUAGAUCACUUUCACACACAAAUCACUUUAAUCUACUCCUCCACAUUGUAGUUUGAAUUUGAAAUUCAAUCAACCACUAUGUUACAAUGCCAAUGGCACUAUCAUGGCCGCAGGAAGAUGUUUUGUGGUGGGGGGGCUUUUAGUAGCAGGCUAGGAGAACUUACUCAGCAGGUUAGGAGAACUUACUCAGCAGGUUAGGAGAACUUACUCAGCAGGUUAGGAGAACUUACUCAGCAGGUUAGGAGAACUUACUCAGCAGGUUAGGAGAACUUACUCAGCAGGUUAGGAGAACUUACUCAGCAGGUUAGGAGAACUUACUCAGCAGGCUAGGAGAACUUACUCAGCAGGUUAGGAGAACUUACUCAGCAGGUUAGGAGAACUAACGUAGCAGGUUAGGAGAACUUACUCAGCAGGUUAGGAGAACUAACGUAGCAGGUUAGGAGAACUUACUCAGCAGGUUAGGAGAACUAACGUAGCAGGCUAGGAGAACUUAUUCAGUAUAACGUAGCAGGUUAGGAGAACUAACGUAGCAGGCUAGGAGAACUUACUCAGCAGGUUAGGAGAAUUAACGUAGCAGGUUAAGAUAAUUAACGUAGCAGGUUAGGAGAAUUAACGUAGCAGGUUAGGAGAACUUACUCAGCAAGUUAGGAGAAUUAAUGUAGCAGGUAAGGAGAACUUACUCAGCAGGUUAGGAGAAUUAACGUAGCAGGUUAAGAGAAUUAACAUAGCAGGUUAGGAGAAUUAACAUAGCAGGUUAGGAAAAUUAACAUAGCAGGUUAAGAGAAUUAACAUAGCAGGUUAGGAGAAUUAACGUAGCAGGUUUGACAACGUCUGACAAUACUGCAUUGCAAAAUGGGCUCAUCUUUCUCUCUCUCUCUCUCUCUCUCUCUCUGUCUCUCUCGCUCUGUCUCUCUGUCUCUCUCUCUGUCUCACACACAGAUAUUGACCAGGGAGACCAUGUGAAAAGAAACACACACACACACACACACACACACACACACACACACCACACACACACACACACACACACACACAGACACAGCCUGCUGUUUGGUCCUCGGUUAAUCUUGAUCUCAAGCGCCACCUUGUGUCCGUAAAUGUAAAAGUACACUGAGUGCUCUUUCCAUGACAGACUGACCAGGUGAAUCCAGGUGAAAGAUGAUCUCUUAUUGAUGUCCACUUCAAUCAGUGUAGAUGAAAGGUAGGAGACUGGUUAAAGAAGGAUUUUUAAGCCUUGAUACAAUUGAGACAUGGAUUGUGUGUGUGUGUGCCAUUCAGAGUGUGAAUGGGAAAGAACGGGGUAUGGUAGUAGGUGCCAGGCGCACCGGUUUGUAUCAAGAACUGCAACACUACUGGGUUUUUCACACUCAACAGUUUCCCGUGAGUAUGAAGAAUGGUCCACCAGCCAACUUGACACAACUGUGGGAAGCACUGGAGUCAACAUGGACCAGCAUCCUUUCGACACCUUGUAGAGUCCAUGCCCUGAAGAAUUGAGGCUGUUCUGCAACGCAAUAUUAGGAAGUGUUCUUCAUGUUUUGUACACUCAGUGUAAAGUAUAUUUUUCUAAAUGUAGACCUUCUUGUCUCAAGGUCUGUUCUAUGUGUGUAGAGUGAAUCUACAAGUCACAGAAUAAUUAUCAUCCAAGUCAAUUUUGCAGUUAGCUCACUGUUAGUCCAAAUCUCUGUUGUUGGUCUGACUGUUCAGGAUGGUCUCAUGGAAUACACUGGAAUGGGAAAGAAAAGGAUCAGAUUCAGUUGGAUGUUGUUUUGUGUGUGGCAAGACAUGUUUCGCUGUGGUAUUCGUCACGGGAUCUCUGAAACAACAUUUUAAGAACAAUCUACAAAAGAAACACACUUGAACACCAGUUUACAGCAAAUACUGUAGAUCACGUGUCAAACUCAUUCCACAGAGGAUGGAGUGUCUGCGUGUUUUCACUCCUCCCUUGUACAUGACUGAUGAAUUAAGGUCACUAUUUAGUAAGGAACGCUCCUCACCUGGUUGUCUAGGUCUUAAUUGAAAGGAAAAAACAAAAACCAGCA